UUUUUUUUUUUUUUUUUUUUUUCCCAUAACACACAAGCUAAGUUUCCAUUCCUAUCCCUUGACCCUCCUAGAUCUAGGCUUAUAUUUCAGAUAGCAUUGCUCAGAGCUGUCUGGCCAGAUAAUGAGCAGACCUGUCUGAAAAGCAGGAACAAGCAAGAGGAUUCAUUGCAGCCAUGGGAACUACAAAAGCAGUUCAGCUGAAGCACUAGCUACAGCACUGUACAAAUUGGGCUGAGGCUGCACCUUUUCCAUGGCCUACAGCUAAGUUAGGCAACAGGAAAUUUUCCCACACUUUCUGGAAAGCAAGGAGUUAAUGCUUUAUGAUCUUUACAUACCUUAGCUCUGAGCCACAGAGUUUAAAAGCUUGACAAGCGACCACUUCCAUAAGACUCAAAGUUUCACUUCUACUCCAGCCAUUUAUGAUGAUGUAUGUAGGGCAUCCUAAGGGGCAGAAUUCAGACUGAAUGCUGGGUUAAAUAACAUUCACCAAACUCACACUGGGAUGAGCACUGUAAUAAAGACAGGUAGACUUGAUAGCCUAACUGUUCAAAAAAACAUAAAAUUAGACACUGUUAUUCUUAGCAUACAUUCUAGGGAUGUUUCAAAGAUUGGUACAUGUUCCCAGGUCUGAAACUUCGUGCAGUAAAACUAAUCCUCUAAAACCUUAGUUAGACUAACAGAUCCUGAGGCUGCAGUAGAUUCUUGCAAAUACAUUAAGAGUUGCUAAGAUACAGAGGCACGUCUGUUAAUAAAAUACAAAUCCAUUCUCCACUCUCAAUUUCUCCAGAAUACCGUACUUAACACCCUCUUAAUCCCAACCAACUUGAGCCUAAUUGAUUAAUAUGUUUCCUGGUGUGAUGGAUGAAAAUCAUAGGUGCUUAUGUUACAAACAAUUAAAAACUAUACUGAGCUGUACACACAGAAGGGUAAAACUGAAAAGACUGAUGAAGAAGCCAUUUUUUCCCAAGAUUUUUUGAAGUCUCUGCCUGAAUGAUGAGGUUAAUUCUAAGAGAGCAUGUCAUGCCAGGUCUUCUUAAAUCAGAUUUAUGUGACUGUAGCCAACAAAUAACUUUUGAAAAUCUGCCAUUUAUUUGUUAAUGUUGUUUAUUGUUAUUUAUUUAUUGCUGUUGUUACUACUAGAAGUCAAGAUGUAAGGAUGGUUAAUGAAACAUUAGCCAAAUUCCACUGUAGUGUAUCUGAACAUGUAUGAUACACAUAGAUACAUGGAAAAACUACUUUAAAGCCAGAGAUAUGACCAAAGCCUUAAAAUCUGUACGUACCACUAGAUGGUGUACAAGGCUACUCCAUUGUAUCUGCUCUGUCAUUAUAUUCUCCAAAGGCUCUGAGUUCAUCAGUAACACUGUUAAUGAAAUCUUAAAGCUUGCACUCCAAAAGAAUUAGAUUGCUCAUAUUCAUAUGAAUAGAGCUAGUUCAAAAUCAGGCACAAAGUUGAAUUUGGCUUUCUGAUCAGAAUAUCCAAUGUGAUAUGAGUUAAGUUUUGCCUGUGUCCGCUGUUUUGUGUGUUUUGGCUUUUAUACUGUUUCUCAGUGAAGAAGCCAUCCAAGGUAUAACAUUUUGACACAAUCUUUUGCUCUGCUCAGAAUUUCCUCCUUUUUUUUUUGGUGAGGAACUGUACCUAGCAUCCAUGAGGUAUCAGAGAAGAGUUUUAACUGCUUAUUCAUAUUCACGUGCUCACUGAUAUCUUCAAAAAUUUCUAAUAAAUUUUAAAGGUGAGAUCUCCUUCUACAGAAGUUGUAUGUUUUUCCCUACUGUCACUAUUAGUCACUAUUAUUUAAGUAUCUACUAAUUAAUUUCAUUUAUUUUACAGCUUCAUAUCUUUUCACACUGUGUAGAUCUGUAGCUUUUCAAACCCCUUCUGUUCCUCAAAUCUUUGCUAGAAGUCAUCAUAAUCAUUUCACUAUUAUGCUAAUACCUACUCCUUUAAGCAGCCUCAAAGAAGAAUGAGCACACAAACAGAAGAAGCAAUUUCAUAUUUGAUUACCUUAUCAGUCUUAUGUAUAAAUCAUUGGUCUUGCCAGUUUUUUAUGAUCAUUUUAUCAAUUUGUCCUAAGACAUCUCAGCUGAUCCUUUAAAUGAUAACUGUUCCUGUGACUGUAAGUGAUAAUUCUAGUGAAACUGAGAUCAGGAGCUCAGGUGGGUCUAGGGUUUGAACAUAUAGGGGUAAAUAAGCUAGCUUUGAAAACUAGGGAAGGAGAAUGACAUCUCAACAUUUCAUGGUCAUCUGUGCAAACACAAGGAAGGGAACAAUACAAGAUAGAUGUCUGUGACCAGUUUCAAUGCACCGUGAAGAGGUCAGACCAAG
This is a long non-coding RNA of Gallus gallus (chicken), 2323 nucleotides long. The record is from Ensembl. Lineage: Eukaryota; Metazoa; Chordata; Aves; Galliformes; Phasianidae.